Molecule: long non-coding RNA, 805 nt
Organism: Hemicordylus capensis (graceful crag lizard)
Lineage: Eukaryota; Metazoa; Chordata; Lepidosauria; Squamata; Cordylidae
Exons: 4
Source: RefSeq, a predicted model, not a curated record
UAGGGGAAAGCAUAAAAAGUGUAAACUAAACCUCUGGUCCAGUGCUACAGUUUCCGAGACAACAAUUCAUCUCGAUGAUCUGAAAUCAACUGAGGGAUUAACUGGAUCCCAUCAUCGGAACUUUUCCUGAAAGGUGUUACAACAUUUCAGAGCCAUAAAUGCUCCUGACUGCAUCAAAAGAAAGUUACAAGGAGAAACCAACAAUUAUUGUGGAGAAAAACAGCUCAAUCAGAGGAAGCAGAAAGCCAGCAAGUUCACUUUUCCUCCUGUCAUUUCUCUCUGACACACAACAGCAAGACGGACUCACAAGCAGGGCUUCCUCUACAGAUCUCAGCAGCUGAGAGGAUAUAUGAUAGGGAGAGAACCAUUCUCCUAACUGUAAAACCACAGAUGGCUUGAAAGAUCAAAAACCUACACUUUGAUUUGUGCUCAGAAACCAACCAGUGCAGCUACUGAAGAUGCAUAUACUUCCCUGAGGAGGCAAGCUGUCGCAGUCUGCCUGAAUUUAUUUGAUGAUUUUGAACAAUCUUCAAUGAUAGCUUCUUGUAGAAGACAUUUCAGGACAUAUUGGCAUAUGCAGCUGAAUCAGAUGGCAGCAUCUUGAGGUGGGAGAAUCUCAUUACUUUAGGCUGCAGGGGGAGAGCAGCUGACCGCAUUCAGCCUCAGCAUGGCUUCCUUCAGUGGUGUCUACCUUGUUCCAUUGUGAACCCUUUGGGGACAGCAGGCCCUGAGCAAACUGCUCUGAGAACUUUUUGUUGUUAAAAAGCCGUCUGUAUGUAACUAAUAAAUAAUGGCUGAUACACCA